CCUACGGGUGGCAGCAGUGGGGGAUAUUGGGCAAUGGGCGCAAGCCUGACCCAGCAACGCCGCGUGAAGGAAGAAGGCUUUCGGGUUGUAAACUUCUUUUCUCAGGGACGAAGCAAGUGACGGUCCCUGAGGAAUACGCCACGGCUAACUACGUGCCAGCAGCCGCGGGAAUACGUAGGGGGCAAGCGUUAUCCGGAUUUAGUGGGUGUAAGGGGCGUGUAGGCGGGAGCGCAAGUCAGAUGUGAAAACGCAGGGCUCAACCCUGAGCCUGCAUUUGAAACUGUGUUUCUGGAGUGCGGGAGAGGCAAUCGGAAUUCCGGGUGUAGCGGUGAAAUGCGUAGAUAUACGGAGGAACACCAGUGGCGAAGGCGGAUUGCUGGACAGUAACUGACGCUGAGGCGCGAAAGCGUGGGGAGCAAACAGGAUUAGAUACCCCUGUAGUC
This 443-nucleotide ribosomal RNA is filed under the name uncultured bacterium. RNAcentral describes it as "partial 16S ribosomal RNA". It matches the Rfam family "Bacterial small subunit ribosomal RNA", at positions 338 to 795 of the family's 1533-position model. The record is from RNAcentral.